UAUUUGUAAUAUGAGGAUAAUAAAAGGGUCUCUUUCAUAAGACUGAUGUGAGGAUUGCUUGAAACAAUGUAUGUAAUGCUGUGCCUGACGUUAGCACACUGUAAAUACUAGUGUGUAUAUAUAUCAUAUGUAUAUAUACUGUGUGUAUAUAUGUAUAUUAUUACCCAUGAGGAGAUGGGGCCAGUAAAGUUGAGUGACUUAAAUAAGGUUCCUUAGCUUGGUAGUGGAUGGGAAAGGACUUGAGCUUGUCUUCUCAAUCCUAUCUGGUUGCUCUUAACACAGGUGCAGAAAAGUUUUUUUGCUUUUGGUAAAAUGUAUGACAUGAGCCAUACUUACUAUGGAGGGAAACUAGGCCAGACAAAUGACAUGAAGUAUGCAUUAUUUUCAGGUAUUCAGCAAAUUGGAGGCUAUGUACCAGAUGUGCUAGAUUCUUAAUUGUGUUAAGAAGACAAAGCUUUAAGAGUCACAGGAAUACUAAGCAGGAGAGGUUUGGGAAAAAGAGUUUAGAGAUACACUUUAAUACUGAAGUUUCUGUCUUGGAAGAUGCUUUGUCCAACCUUUGCCCAUCCCACUAUACUGCUAAUCUCAUUCCUCUCUCUGCCCCUUAAGAAAAGACUAUGGCUUUCUUAGGCUAUAAUUGUAACAAUUAAUGAAUGUAAACUGGUCCUCUUCCUUUUUCACCAUCCCUUCCCUAACAGUUCAGUCCAAAAGCCAUUAAGUGGGGCUGAGCAAGGUAAAGCUAUCAUGACCCAGAGCUGGGUGUCACUAAAACACAGUGAAGAGCAUCGUGAAGGAGCAGCCCAAAUGAAUGGGAGGGGUAAUCCAUGCAGAAAGGAGGUCCAUUCAGGAUACCUGAGCCCAAGUGGUGGAGUGGGAGGCAUCUGUGCAGUGGGUGGUGAUGGUGACUGCCCAACAAGGGAUGUCAGCUUGAGCAGGGUGAGGAGAGGGCAUUUGUACAGGGACAGUCCCAGCAUGAGGUGUCAGAACCUGAAUGGGGUAAAAUGGGCUAUGUAGACGGCAGUGACAGCAGCAAUGGAAUAUUGCUUACAUUCAGGGAUAUUGAUCAAAAGUAAAUACAUUUGUUAAAAUGGGAGCCAGUUUUCUCACUGCCCUAGAAGGGGUUAUAAACAUGAAGAGAGAAAAUUAGAAUGAACUUUGUAGUGUUGGUUUGGAACUGGAGUUACUGGUAUAAACUCAUAUAGUUUUCAAGAUAGAGAAAUAAUAAUAGAUGAAAAUGUGUGUUUUUGUGCACACAUGUGAGAAGACGGAAUCAGUGACACUCCAAUGAGCAUACCUGGCACCUAGAUCUUGGUUUCUAAAUAUAUUCUUCACUAAAAUAAACCAGGACUUCUUGGAGAAAUGGCUGUGGCAGAGAAAGUACAAGAUGAUACUGUAACAUCUUACUCCAGAAGCAUGCUAGAAAGCAAAGAGAAUGGACAUGAGGUAGCAGGAAGGAAUGAAAGAGUGAAGAUAAUGAAGUGUCUUUGUGCAGGUUACUAGGGGCUUCUGGGGGGCAGUGACCUAAUCCAGUCGAUGACUCCAACCUUGAGACUUCCAGGUUGCAGAUGCACAUGAUAAGCCUCCAAAUUACAGGUGAGCAAGUGGUGGCUCCCUCCACAAACUGUAGCCUUGUAUAUGGCUAGGGCCCAGAAAAGUUAAGAAAUUUACUUUUUUUUCUUUUUAACCAUACCAAAAUUUUAUAUGAGUUCUCCCUCCCUCAUAGAUAGAAUGUUAAAGACCAUCAAGUCUGGUAUUCACAAAAAAUUUUAAGUCCCUUGGGGUGCUUGGCAAAAACAUGGCAUGAUUUAUUCUUCUCAGAAAUUAAGCAUGCACAUAGGCAUGUUAAGGCUUUUGAGAAAUCCUGUAGUAAAGAGACCUAUUUACCUUGCCUUAAUCCAGCAUUCUCCAAAAUUAUUUGACCACGUAACCUUUUUCCCCCAGCAGUAACACUUAUUGAUACCCCAUGGAACUACUACUACUCCUUAAAACAUACUUUGGAAAUGUUAAUCCAAUUCAACGAGCACAUUUUAAAGAUGAAGAAACUAAGGCCCAGAGCAGAUGGAAGGCACCUAGGUCCAGGACACAUAAUAAGGUUCUCAAGACCUGGAGAAGACUCAGGCUCCUAGGUAAGUUCUCCUUCUCCCCGCUUUCCUUGCAUUAACCCCAGGCUAAGAACUGGGAUUUCAACAAGGAUAGCUCUGCCGUGAGGCAUCUUGACAAUAAAUGACUGCCUGCCACAGGCGCUUGUAAUGAAAGGAAUAAUGGAAGGAAAAAGCAGCUCAAUACACUUUUUACAUGAAAAUUCAGUGAAGAUUCCGACCAAGAAAAAUUCCAUGGUGUGCUCCCAACACUCGGUUUAUGAGUUUUCUUAUUUCAGUUUGGUUUCCAGAGACAGCGUAAAUAUCAGUUUCUGCCUAGUAACCGCUGUGCUGAAAUCGCUAUUGCUCUUGAUUUAAUUUAAUCUUAUUAUUUCAUAGUCAUAAAGAAGACAGUAAUGUAAAUUAUUUGUGGGCUUAAACAUCUAUUUAUAUCUUUUUUUUCUUUCUCUUCAGAUAAUAAAAUGGGAAAUUGUUAGACACACAUUCAUCUUCAGAACAGUGAGUCCAGGAGGAAGCUUUCAAAACAGGAGCCCAGCCAAUCGCAAACGUUUCUCUGGACAGACUCUCCUCAGCCCCAGACCCGGCUACUAAGAAAGCCAUAUACCCCAGCACUGUGAAGAUGACAAAUCCUGAAACGAAGCUCGUCAUGCAGUUCACCACACUGGUCACCAAGGCAUCUCUGGAGCAGAAAACCCAAGGGGCCUGAGACAUUUCCAAGUCAGAAAUCUAAGAAGCAUCUGUCUCCAGCCGUGACAAGGCUCGCAAAAGCCAGCAGGACCCCAAAGCCAGGACCGAGAGAGAAGAAGAUCUGGGCGGCCGCAUCCACCCACACCUGCAACACAGCAGAGAUGCUAAAGUAGAUAAUAGUGAAGAUCAGCAUGAUGCAGAGGGCAAGCUGCCAGCUGAUGCCCCCCAGGUCCUGGAGCCCCUUUGAC
Molecule: long non-coding RNA, 3034 nt
Organism: Physeter macrocephalus (sperm whale)
Lineage: Eukaryota; Metazoa; Chordata; Mammalia; Artiodactyla; Physeteridae
Exons: 7
Source: RefSeq, a predicted model, not a curated record